Astatotilapia calliptera (eastern happy) is the source of this 1209-nucleotide long non-coding RNA. The record is from Ensembl. NCBI's taxonomy places the organism in Eukaryota, Metazoa, Chordata, Actinopteri, Cichliformes, Cichlidae.
GAGGUCGAGGCACGAUGUGCCGGGAAAGCGGUGUUCCUCCCGGUUGUAGUAGCUCUCGACCUCCCGUUAGCUUAAAUUAAUCUUAAUCCGUCUUAAUUUUUUUUUUCUCCCAUGUCCCCUGCAGGCGCUCCAUAGAAAACCCACCCGAUCGACCAAAAUCAACUCAAAAUACUAGUGAUGGGACGUUCUGUAUCGAGGCUUCGGAGCGUGUGUCGAGUAAUGGAGGGGGCGUUUCCGCGAUCCGCGUAUCGAGGCUUGCUUCAUUUAUGGGAGGAGCUGAAAAUGAUGACGUCCGAAGCCUCGCUGCCCGGCUGUACCACGUGACUGGUUCAUGAAGUGGUUCGAACUUUGCCGCGAGAUAUGACAGCGAUAUAAACCCCUCAGACUUCAUUCAAAAAUGUGGGUGUUUGAUAGAGAGUUGCGGUUAGUGAGAGUUUGGAGACAGUUUGGAGGUUUAUGAGAGUGAGGAGAGAAAGUCAGGAGAGAAUGGAGCCAGCUAAGAAGAGGAGGAUGUCCUCCCCUGUGUGGGAACAUUUUGAUCUUAUUCCUCCCAACAAAGGUAUGUAAAUUUCUACAGAAGAUGUAUUUUUAUAAUACUGAUGGUGCAAUACAAUUUAUGUUAAGCUGUCUUUACUUUUGUACAAGGUGAAGUGUUUGCAAUGUGCCAGGGAGCUGGGAUAUAACAACAACACCUCAUCCAUGCUUAGGCACUACAGAGCUUUGCAUGAGAAUAAGGGGAACACCGAUUGUGGAGCAAGACCAGAAGAACAAUCUCAAAUAGAUGAAGACCUGGUUAGCAUGGUGAUUGAGGACUUCCAGCCAUUUAGCAUUGUGGAGGACAAAGGAUUCAAAAGAUUCGUUAAAUCAUUAAAUCUUAGCUAUGUUCUCCCCACUAAAAAGGUCAUAAAAGCAGUGAAAAUUUAGUUUUUACACAAUAAAAUAUGGGCAGGACUGAGGCCUCAGUGUGUAGCUGUCCAUACCUCAACGUUACAAAAGCACAACUACUGUCCACACCCCAACCACACCUCACCUCACAGUAAAUGAUCAUUUCCAUUUUAAGCAUUUCCAAAUAAUCAUUUUCCAUACUGCCACUAUGAAUAUACACAGUAUACUGCCAUCACUACAAUAUACAUGUUUUACACACUCCUUUUGUUGUUGACAUUUACAGGCUGUGUGCAAAAUGCCACACUCUUCAAAUUCAUGCCAACU